GUAAUAUUAUAUAUAUGAUUUUGAAAAUCAUUUUAGGUAUUUAAAAUUUACCAUAUUACU
Molecule: transfer RNA, 60 nt
Filed under: Laeonereis culveri
Lineage: Eukaryota; Metazoa; Annelida; Polychaeta; Phyllodocida; Nereididae
Description: tRNA-Ser
Source: RNAcentral